ACACACUGCAACUCAACAAGCGUCAACAGUCUUCGUGAAGGUGCUGCAGAGCGAUGGAGCUGAAGGUGUGGGUGGAGGGCGUGGUCAGGGUGGUGUGUGGCCUGUCACUGAACACUUCCUGUCAGGACGUCGUCAUCGCGCUGGCGCAAGCGAUUGGUCAGACGGGUCGGUAUGUCCUGAUCCUGAAGCUGCGAGGGAAGGAGAGGCAACUGCUGAAGACUGACUGUCCCCUGCAGGAGCUGGCUCAGCUGGGUCAACAGGCUGCUGAGGUCCACUUUGUCCUGCGAAGGACCGGCCCCAGCCUCAGUGAGGGGUCCACCACAGACACCAGAGCCCCCCUCACCCCCUUCAUCCGACACCCAGAACCCAAGCUUUUCAGCCACAGGGAGCCCCACAAGUCCUUUACCUUCAAUUUGGGCCCAUCCACGUUCCCCAGGAGGACUAAACCUGACAGGAAGUGGGCUCCGUCUCCUGAACAGAGGGCGUCCCCCGUCCCCUCUGUCAUUCAGCCGUCCAGAGAGGAGCUGAUCCUCCAGCUUCUGCGGCAUCAGAGGAGGCUGGAGCAUCUGGAGGAGCAGCUCUACACACUGGAGAGGGAGACCGAGGAGUGGGAGCAGAGGAGGAGGUGGUCUGCUGCAGGUCCUGGUUCUGAUGUCAGUCUGGAUCAGCAGAGGGAGCUGGAGCUGCUGGAGCAGACGCUGAGGCAGAACCAGGAUGAGCUGAGGCAGGAGGAGUACUGGGAGGAACAGCUGGAGCAGGAGACACUCAGAGGACAAGAUAUGUGCAGACGCCUGGAGCAGAUAAAGUGGUCGGUAGAUGAUCAGAGCUACCGUGUGGAGGAGCUACAGGCCCGUUCAGAACGUCUGCAGCAGGACGUCAGGCAGAGGAGUGAAGAAACUCUGCGACCGCUGGAGGGGGAGCUGCAGCAGCGUCUGCAACAGGGAGACAGGCUGAAUGCAACCGCUGUGGAGAUGCAGAUGGAGAUGCAGGCAGCAGACGGCAGGGUGAAGGACAGAUGGGAGGUGUUGGAGGAGCUGAAGAAGGAGUUAAGAUAGUGUAACCUGCAACAGUUCAUCCAACAGGCUGCCGUGUCGUCACCCUCUGACCUCAACGGCCUACUGUCGGUGUCGGAUGUUUAUCUGAGGAACGCCGGCAUCGUGGAAUGAGAAGGAUAAAAGAAACUGGAACCUGAAGGAUGGAUACAUCAUCUGUAUGUGUGCCUGAUUUAUUGAUGACUAAAAACAUCUACAGUCUUUGUAGCAUUAUUUACCAUUAUUUAACAUAUAUUUAUACAUGACAUGUUUAAGCUGUUACGUGACUGCAUAUGUCAAUUACCUAUGGACGCCUUAACUAUUUACUGUAAAA
RNA transcript from Sphaeramia orbicularis (orbiculate cardinalfish), 1365 nucleotides. It is a transcript of the gene named ras association domain-containing protein 8-like, with no coding region annotated. NCBI's taxonomy places the organism in Eukaryota, Metazoa, Chordata, Actinopteri, Kurtiformes, Apogonidae. The transcript has 6 exons. The record is from RefSeq and is a predicted model, not a curated record.